RNAcentral lists this ribosomal RNA (253 nucleotides) under uncultured bacterium. Its description in RNAcentral is "partial 16S ribosomal RNA". It matches the Rfam family "Bacterial small subunit ribosomal RNA", at positions 524 to 776 of the family's 1533-position model. The record is from RNAcentral.
UACGUAGGUGGCAAGCGUUGUCCGGAAUUAUUGGGCGUAAAGCGCGCGCAGGUGGUUUCUUAAGUCUGAUGUGAAAGCCCACGGCUCAACCGUGGAGGGUCAUUGGAAACUGGGGGACUUGAGUGCAGGAGAGGAGAGUGGAAUUCCACGUGUAGCGGUGAAAUGCGUAGAGAUGUGGAGGAACACCAGUGGCGAAGGCGACUCUUUGGCCUGUAACUGACGCUGAGGCGCGAAAGCGUGGGGAGCAAACAGG